RNAcentral lists this ribosomal RNA (253 nucleotides) under uncultured bacterium. RNAcentral's name for it is "partial 16S ribosomal RNA". It matches the Rfam family "Bacterial small subunit ribosomal RNA", at positions 524 to 776 of the family's 1533-position model. The record is from RNAcentral.
UACGAAGGGGGCUAGCGUUGCUCGGAAUGACUGGGCGUAAAGGGCGCGUAGGCGGAUGGUACAGUCAGAUGUGAAAUUCCUGGGCUUAACCUGGGGGCUGCAUUUGAUACGUGUUGUCUAGAGUGAGGAAGAGGGUCGUGGAAUUCCCAGUGUAGAGGUGAAAUUCGUAGAUAUCGGGAGGAACACCAGUGGCGAAGGCGGCGACCUGGGCCAAUAUUGACGCUGAGGUGCGAAAGCGUGGGGAGCAAACAGG